UGGGGAAUAUUGCACAAUGGGGGAAACCCUGAUGCAGCGACGCCGCGUGAACGAAGAAGGUAUUCGUAUCGUAAAGUUCUGUCCUAUGGGAAGAUAAUGACAGUACCAUAGAAGAAAGCUCCGGCUAAAUACGUGCCAGCAGCCGCGGUAAUACGUAUGGAGCGAGCGUUGUCCGGAAUUAUUGGGCGUAAAGGGUACGCAGGCGGUUUAAUAAGUCGAAUGUUAAAGAUCGGGGCUCAACCCCGCAAAGCAUUGGAAACUGAUAAACUUGAGUAGUGGAGAGGAAAGUGGAAUUCCUAGUGUAGUGGUGAUAUACGUAGAUAUUAGGAGGAAUACCAGUAGCGAAGGCGACUUUCUGGACACAAACUGACGCUGAGGUACGAAAGCGUGGGGAGCAAACAGG
Molecule: ribosomal RNA, 403 nt
Filed under: bacterium
Lineage: Bacteria
Description: partial 16S ribosomal RNA
Rfam family: Bacterial small subunit ribosomal RNA
Source: RNAcentral